GGAGAGGUGGCUGAGUGGUCGAAAGCGGCAGAUUGCUAAUCUGUUGUAGGAACAGUAAUGCCCUACCGAGGGUUCGAAUCCCUCUCUCUCCG
RNAcentral lists this transfer RNA (92 nucleotides) under Oscillatoriales cyanobacterium SM2_1_8. Its description in RNAcentral is "tRNA-Ser". It matches the Rfam family "tRNA". From Rfam's summary of the family: Transfer RNA (tRNA) molecules are approximately 80 nucleotides in length. Their secondary structure includes four short double-helical elements and three loops (D, anti-codon, and T loops). Lineage: Bacteria; Bacillati; Cyanobacteriota; Cyanophyceae; Oscillatoriales. The record is from RNAcentral. RNAcentral also lists the same sequence under 1 other name.